Molecule: long non-coding RNA, 865 nt
Filed under: Triticum aestivum (bread wheat)
Lineage: Eukaryota; Viridiplantae; Streptophyta; Magnoliopsida; Poales; Poaceae
Description: long non-coding RNA (TAES_LNC019753)
Source: RNAcentral
GGAGCGCCCGAGGGCGCUAUUUAUUGAUCUUUCAUACACAUCUUACAUCAAGGAUACGAAAUCCAUAGAUUACAAAGUUGCUCAAAGCGAGCAACACUGGACACUGGAUACUCCUAUCAGUUGAGCUAAUACAGUAUGUGGUAGGGGAUACAAUACAGUAUGAGCUAAUAUAGUAUGUGGUAGCUAAUACAAAGCUUUUUCAGUGAGUCCUUUGCACAGUUAUGAGCAACACCAUUCAAAUCUCUUUUGAUGUGAUAUAUCUUUAACAUAAGAGACUUGGAAACAAUGAAGUAUUCUGCAAUCUGUGAAUGGAUUUCACAAUGUCCCGGGUUUGAAAUUCGCCAGCAUUUGCAGCUCUUGCAAGUACCUGAUUAUCUGUCAGAAGGGUGGACCGAUAAAACCUGUAACUUUGGACUCUACCUGAAGCCCUUUCAUUAUAGCUUGAGCAGCUUGAUGCACCUGAGUUGGAUGUCCCUAUUUUCUUCCAAAAUGUUUGUCAUUUCCCGCCUUCUAUAUACACCAGAAAAAGUCAUUAGAUUGCAUAUGGAAGCAUAGUGGUGUCCUGAACUUAAGAUUGCUUGAAUAAUAUUAGGAAUUGAUCUGUAAUGUUGCACAAAGUAAUCAGACCUAAGAAACCAUGGUUCUAAGAACUAAGCAUCUUUAGCAAAUGGGCAUGAGAAAAAUAAAUGAAUGUCAUCUUCCUCCGCCUCACACAUGGAGCAGUAUUUGGAGAUGUGUCUGGCAUACAUACCAGCCCGCAUGCCUGUUGGAACUGCUCUCUCAAGAAGCCUCCAAGCAAACGUCUGAAUUCUCGGAGCAAUGCUAUUGUCUUUCCAAACCUAGCAAAAAAGUGUUUUCACAAGAG